This 659-nucleotide ribosomal RNA is filed under the name Staphylococcus epidermidis. RNAcentral's name for it is "bacterial LSU rRNA". It matches the Rfam family "Bacterial large subunit ribosomal RNA", at positions 1 to 655 of the family's 2925-position model. The record is from RNAcentral. Lineage: Bacteria; Bacillati; Bacillota; Bacilli; Caryophanales; Staphylococcaceae.
AGAUUAAGUUAUUAAGGGCGCACGGUGGAUGCCUUGGCACUAGAAGCCGAUGAAGGACGUUACUAACGACGAUAUGCUUUGGGUAGCUGUAAGUAAGCGUUGAUCCAGAGAUUUCCGAAUGGGGGAACCCAGCAUGAGUUAUGUCAUGUUAUCGACAUGUGAAUUUAUAGCAUGUCAGAAGGCAGACCCGGAGAACUGAAACAUCUUAGUACCCGGAGGAAGAGAAAGAAAAAUCGAUUCCCUGAGUAGCGGCGAGCGAAACGGGAAGAGCCCAAACCAACAAGCUUGCUUGUUGGGGUUGUAGGACACUCUAUACGGAGUUACAAAAGAACAUGUUAGACGAAUCAUCUGGAAAGAUGAAUCAAAGAAGGUAAUAAUCCUGUAGUCGAAAACAUAUUCUCUCUUGAGUGGAUCCUGAGUACGACGGAGCACGUGAAAUUCCGUCGGAAUCUGGGAGGACCAUCUCCUAAGGCUAAAUACUCUCUAGUGACCGAUAGUGAACCAGUACCGUGAGGGAAAGGUGAAAAGUACCCCGGAAGGGGAGUGAAAGAGAACUUGAAACCGUGUGCUUACAAGUAGUCAGAGCCCGUUAAUGGGUGAUGGCGUGCCUUUUGUAGAAUGAACCGGCGAGUUACGAUCUGAUGCAAGGUUAAGCAGCA